This 431-nucleotide ribosomal RNA is filed under the name uncultured bacterium. RNAcentral's name for it is "partial 16S ribosomal RNA". It matches the Rfam family "Bacterial small subunit ribosomal RNA", at positions 29 to 507 of the family's 1533-position model. The record is from RNAcentral.
AACGAACGCUGGCGGCAGGCUUAACACAUGCAAGUCGAGCGCCCCGCAAGGGGAGCGGCAGACGGGUGAGUAACGCGUGGGAACGUACCUUUUGGUUCGGAACAACUCCGGGAAACUGGAGCUAAUACCGGAUAAGCCCUAACGGGGAAAGAUUUAUCGCCGAAAGAUCGGCCCGCGUCUGAUUAGCUAGUUGGUGAGGUAACGGCUCACCAAGGCGACGAUCAGUAGCUGGUCUGAGAGGAUGAUCAGCCACACUGGGACUGAGACACGGCCCAGACUCCUACGGGAGGCAGCAGUGGGGAAUAUUGGACAAUGGGCGCCAGCCUGAUCCAGCCAUGCCGCGUGAGUGAUGAAGGCCUUAGGGUUGUAAAGCUCUUUUGUCCGGGAAGAUAAUGACUGUACCGGAAGAAUAAGCCCCGGCUAACUUCGUG